Molecule: ribosomal RNA, 301 nt
Filed under: uncultured bacterium
Lineage: Bacteria
Description: partial 16S ribosomal RNA
Rfam family: Bacterial small subunit ribosomal RNA
Source: RNAcentral
CAGCAGCCACGGUAAUACGAAGGGGGCUAGCGUUGUUCGGAAUCACUGGGCGUAAAGGGUGCGUAGGCGGGAUCUUAAGUCAGGGGUGAAAUCCCGAGGCUCAACCUCGGAACUGCCUUUGAUACUGGGGUCCUUGAGUCCGGAAGAGGUGAGUGGAACCGCGAGUGUAGAGGUGAAAUUCGUAGAUAUUCGCAAGAACACCGGUGGCGAAGGCGGCUCACUGGUCCGGAACUGACGCUGAGGCACGACAGCGUGGGGAGCAAACAGGAUUAGAUACCCCAGUAGUCCCUGUCUCUUAUAC